Molecule: long non-coding RNA, 420 nt
Organism: Balaenoptera musculus (blue whale)
Lineage: Eukaryota; Metazoa; Chordata; Mammalia; Artiodactyla; Balaenopteridae
Exons: 3
Source: RefSeq, a predicted model, not a curated record
GGGAUCCGGGCUGGGCGGAGGAGAAGGCGGUGUUGCUUAGCAGAGAGUGAUGGCGGCGCCGCCCAAUGGACGCGUUGGUAGAGGGGUCCGCGCCCCCUCCACCGGGGUACACAGGAAGCCACCCCAGAGGGAUCCUACAAAAACCAAGAAAACCUAUAGCUACUCUUCUAAAUCUCAGUGCCCAGCAUUGCCUACGUUUCUGCCUCCCCCAACAAAAAAAAAAAACAGUUCUCCUUGACCUGAGGAAACUUCCAUCCAGGUCUGUGAGCUGCAAUAGAUCAUCCUGAAGAAUCAAGAAUCAUCAUCACCUGAGACUGCCAAGACGAAUCCCAGCAUCAAAACAACACUUGAAGCUCAAAAAGUCUCCUUAAAAAUGCAGUGACUCGGGCUUCCCUGGUGGCGCAGUGGUUGAGAAUCUGC